GAAAAUUGCAGCUGUUUUAGAAUGUGUCAAGCAGGUUUUCCGGUUUUUACUGGAAUUCUUCA
RNAcentral lists this small nuclear RNA (62 nucleotides) under Tupaia belangeri (northern tree shrew). RNAcentral's name for it is "U7 small nuclear RNA (ENSTBEG00000020506.1)". It matches the Rfam family "U7 small nuclear RNA". From Rfam's summary of the family: Animal histone pre-mRNAs are spliced by a different mechanism than nuclear pre-mRNAs and self-splicing introns. This processing involves the U7 snRNP, which contains only one RNA species: U7. The 5' end of U7 RNA is thought to base-pair to a conserved spacer element downstream of the cleavage site in histone pre-mRNA. The record is from RNAcentral. Lineage: Eukaryota; Metazoa; Chordata; Mammalia; Scandentia; Tupaiidae.